Molecule: ribosomal RNA, 576 nt
Filed under: uncultured eukaryote
Lineage: Eukaryota
Description: SSU rRNA
Rfam family: Eukaryotic small subunit ribosomal RNA
Source: RNAcentral
UAAAAACCCCGACUUCGGAAGGGGUGUAUUUAUUAGAUACAAAACCAAUGCCCUUCGGGGCUCUUUGGUGAUUCAUGAUAACUAUACGAAUCGCACGGCCUUGCGCCGGCGAUGGUUCAUUCAAAUUUCUUCCCUAUCAACUUUCGAUGUUUGGGUAUUGGCCAAACAUGGUUGCAACGGGUAACGGAGGGUUAGGGCUCGACCCCGGAGAAGGAGCCUGAGAAACGGCUACUACAUCCAAGGAAGGCAGCAGGCGCGCAAAUUACCCAAUCCCGACUCGGGGAGGUAGUGACAAUAAAUACUGAUACAGGGCCCUUUCGGGCCUUGUAAUUGGAAUGAGUACAAUUUGAAUCCCUUAACGAGGAACAAUUGGAGGGCAAGUCUGGUGCCAGCAGCCGCGGUAAUUCCAGCUCCAAUAGCGUAUAUUAAAGUUGUUGUGGUUAAAAAGCUCGUAGUUGAACCUUGGGCCUGGCUGGCCGGUCCGCCUCACCGCGUGCACUGGUCCGGCCGGGCCUUUCCCUCUGUGGAACCCCAUACCCUUCACUGGGCGUGGCGGGGAAACAGGACAUUUACUUU